GGGGUUGUAGUUUAGUGGCAGAGCACUUGCCUAGCAUGUUGAGGCACUGGGUUCAAUUCUCAGCAGUACCA
This 71-nucleotide transfer RNA is filed under the name Ictidomys tridecemlineatus (thirteen-lined ground squirrel). RNAcentral's name for it is "Spermophilus tridecemlineatus (thirteen-lined ground squirrel) tRNA". It matches the Rfam family "tRNA". From Rfam's summary of the family: Transfer RNA (tRNA) molecules are approximately 80 nucleotides in length. Their secondary structure includes four short double-helical elements and three loops (D, anti-codon, and T loops). Lineage: Eukaryota; Metazoa; Chordata; Mammalia; Rodentia; Sciuridae. The record is from Rfam by way of RNAcentral.